UGGGGAAUAUUGGACAAUGGAGGGAACUCUGAUCCAGCAAUUCUGUGUGUGUGAAGAGGUUUUAGGACUGUAAAACACUUUUAGUAGGGAAGAAAAAAAUGACGGUACCUACAGAAGAAGCAACGGCUAAAUACGUGCCAGCAGCCGCGGUAAUACGUAUGUUGCGAGCGUUAUCCGGAAUUAUUGGGCUUAAAGGGCAUCUAGGCGGUAAGACAAGUUGAAGGUGAAAACCUGUGGCUCAACCAUAGGCUUGCCUACAAAACUGUUGAACUAGAGUACUGGAAAGGUGGGUGGAACUACACGAGUAGAGGUGAAAUUCGUAGAUAUGUGUAGGAAUGCCGAUGAUGAAGAUAACUCACUGGACAGAAACUGACGCUGAAGUGCGAAAGCUAGGGGAGCAAACAGG
RNAcentral lists this ribosomal RNA (406 nucleotides) under Verrucomicrobiota bacterium. RNAcentral describes it as "Verrucomicrobia bacterium partial 16S ribosomal RNA". It matches the Rfam family "Bacterial small subunit ribosomal RNA", at positions 355 to 776 of the family's 1533-position model. The record is from RNAcentral. Lineage: Bacteria; Pseudomonadati; Verrucomicrobiota.